CCACACUCAUCGGGGAGCUUCCCGCGUCGAUAUCCGAACCGGUUAUCUGUCAGCGGUGCUGAGAUCGGGCUACAGCCCGGAACCCGCAGAUACCUGAACCAGAUAAUGCUGGCGUAGGAAUUGAGUUUGGUCUGCUG
RNAcentral lists this non-coding RNA (137 nucleotides) under Vibrio mangrovi. Its description in RNAcentral is "TPP sequence". It matches the Rfam family "TPP riboswitch aptamer (THI element)". From Rfam's summary of the family: Vitamin B(1) in its active form thiamin pyrophosphate (TPP) is an essential coenzyme that is synthesised by coupling of pyrimidine and thiazole moieties in bacteria. The previously detected thiamin-regulatory element, thi box was extended, resulting in a new, highly conserved RNA secondary structure, the THI element, which is widely distributed in eubacteria and also occurs in some archaea. The record is from RNAcentral. Lineage: Bacteria; Pseudomonadati; Pseudomonadota; Gammaproteobacteria; Vibrionales; Vibrionaceae.